AUAUACCUCUUCGUGUAGAAAGUCUUUGAAUGUUUUUAUAAUCAUCGAGUCGUGACUUCUAGGAGACGCGAUUCUUUGAGACAAAAGUUAUCACAACUUUCAGCAAUGGAUCUCUUGGCUCUCGCAUCGAUGAAGAACGCAGCGAAUCGCGAUAUGUAAUGUGAAUUGCAGAUCUACAGUGAAUCAUCGAAUCUUUGAACGCACCUUGCGCUCCUCGGUGUUCCGAGGAGCAUGCCUGUUUGAGCGUCAGUAAAUUCUCAACCCCUCUCGAUUUGCUUCGAGUGGGGCUUGGAUAGUGGGGGCUGCCGGAGACCUGGAAUUCAUUCUGGGACUCGGGCUCCUCUGAAAUGCAUNGGCUUGCGGUCGACUUUCGACUUUGCGCGACAAAGCUUUCGGCGUGAUAAUGAUCGCCGUUCGCUGAAGCGCAUCAAUGAAUGGUCCCGUGCCUCUAAUCAGUCGACGCCUUCUGGGCGUCUUCCUUAUAGACGUUUGACCUCAAAUCAGGUAGGACUACCCGCUGAACUUAAGCAUAUCAAUAAGCCGGAG
This 546-nucleotide ribosomal RNA is filed under the name Suillus cf. sibiricus AG-2015. Its description in RNAcentral is "eukaryotic LSU rRNA". The stretch from base 95 to 249 matches the Rfam family "5.8S ribosomal RNA". Lineage: Eukaryota; Fungi; Basidiomycota; Agaricomycetes; Boletales; Suillaceae. The record is from RNAcentral.